This 750-nucleotide long non-coding RNA is filed under the name Ananas comosus (pineapple). Its description in RNAcentral is "long non-coding RNA (ACOM_LNC002735)". The record is from RNAcentral. Lineage: Eukaryota; Viridiplantae; Streptophyta; Magnoliopsida; Poales; Bromeliaceae.
UUUAUUGUACAUAUCAUAUAUAUAUAUAUAUAUAUAUAUAUAUGAGUUGGACUGGGCUACUAUUAGUAGCAAAAUUCCAUUGUUGCUACCAGUUUUUUAGCCUUUGGAUCAAUUCUUUUCAUUAUUUCUAACCAUUGGAUUAAAUACUAUAACCCAGUGGGGACCACUCAACCCUAGGGGGACCACUCAACUCUAACCGACUAAUAUCAUCCUGACUCUACAAUUUUUCAUCAAAGGGUUAAAAAAAUUUGAUAGCAAAAAGAGCGCUUUACUAUUAAUAGUAUCCCAACCUAAUUCUAUAUAUAAGGUGCAGGAAGUGUCCAAUUUGAGUCUAAUCUUAGGGGUCCAGAAUUUCCAGGGUGUGGAAAAAAUAUUGCAUUGUGAAAAAAAAAUAAUAAUAAAUUAAUUAAAGAAUAGUGAUCCAUGGUGGACCAGGUCCAAUGAAUAAUUUUGAAGUAGACUCGGAAAAAGUACAGUAAUAUGAUAGGAAAGGCACCUGGGAAGGCACCCUACCUAGAUGGGGAUUAGAGGAUUUUACAACAUCACACUUAUAUCACGUCAUCAAUAACAAAUUAAUCAUAUUUCUUCUUUUCAAACAAAAGUAUAAUAAAAAUAUUUUUUUAUAGUUAUGAUGAAAUAUAUAUCUCUAAAAAAAAAUAUUUGAUUGAUUUAUUACGCCACGUCACUAAUAUACCCAGCGCAUUCUAUAAUUUUUUUGGGAACUGAGGGGGAGAGACAAGGAUUGUGAUG